This 497-nucleotide ribosomal RNA is filed under the name uncultured bacterium. RNAcentral's name for it is "partial 16S ribosomal RNA". It matches the Rfam family "Bacterial small subunit ribosomal RNA", at positions 28 to 507 of the family's 1533-position model. The record is from RNAcentral.
GACGAACGCUGGCGGCGUGCCUAAUACAUGCAAGUAGAACGCUGAAGAGAGGAGCUUGCUCUUCUUGGAUGAGUUGCGAACGGGUGAGUAACGCGUAGGUAACCUGCCUUGUAGCGGGGGAUAACUAUUGGAAACGAUAGCUAAUACCGCAUAACAAUAGGUGACACAUGUCAUUUAUUUGAAAGGGGCAAUUGCUCCACUACAAGAUGGACCUGCGUUGUAUUAGCUAGUAGGUGAGGUAACGGCUCGCCUAGGCGACGAUACAUAGCCGACCUGAGAGGGUGAUCGGCCCAACUGGGACUGAGACACGGCCCAGACUCCUACGGGAGGCAGCAGUAGGGAAUCUUCGGCAAUGGGGGCAACCCUGACCGAGCAACGCCGCGUGAGUGAAGAAGGGUUUCGGAUCGUAAAGCUCUGUUGUAAGUCAAGAACGAGUGUGAGAGUGGAAAGUUCACACUGUGACGGUAGCUUACCAGAAAGGGACGGCUAACUACGUG